AAAACAUAAGGUGCCGGAAACAGUCCGGAUAAUAGGGAAGCGGGUGCAAGUCCUGCGCGAUCUCGUCACCGUAAACUGAGAGUUUAAGCCAAUUUGCCACUGGGAAACCGGGAAGGCGGCUGAAACGCCCGAUCAGUGAGCCGGGAGACCUGCCUUAUGCUG
RNAcentral lists this non-coding RNA (162 nucleotides) under bovine gut metagenome. The record is from RNAcentral.